Long non-coding RNA from Diceros bicornis minor, 588 nucleotides. RefSeq lists it as uncharacterized. Lineage: Eukaryota; Metazoa; Chordata; Mammalia; Perissodactyla; Rhinocerotidae. The record is from RefSeq and is a predicted model, not a curated record. The transcript has 3 exons.
UUCUCGGCGCGGACGGCAUUCCCGUGGACCUUCGGCCGAAGGGGCGACGCGCGACACGAAAACAUCCGUGGAGCUCAAGUUUGAGGUGAAACCAGGCUCAGGGUCCACCUGUCCUCGCUGAUCCAUGGAUUUCUGUGUGACCAGCUUUGGGGCACAACCUGAAGACCCUCACAGUCACCUUCCCCAUCUCCACCCUCUGGUAUUCAUCAGACAGGAGCAACGGCUCAGCCACGUUCAACUCCACUGAGAGGGUCCUGCAGAGCCUGGGGAGACCCUGGUCCCAGCAGCUCCUGGUGGGUUAAAUCCCACCCAGCCCCUCCCCCACUCCCUGUCCCUCCUGCUCCUCCUCCUCCUCCUUCCUCCCCAGCUGGAUCCUUGUUCAAGAAGAGCAGCCUGGGCCUCUUCUCCUUGAGUUGCAGACUGGUCUCCCUCAGGUGAGACCCUCCCCUGAGCAUUUGCCCCUAAUGACCACUUUUGUCACCACCCCUCUCUGUCUCCCCCCUGUCCUCCCAUUUCCUCCUUCCUGUUCUGGCCCCCACCCCAGAGGUUUCAGGACCUCUCUCUAGAGUCCCCACAUCCCUCUCUCCC